This 100-nucleotide transfer RNA is filed under the name Desulfurococcaceae archaeon AG1. It matches the Rfam family "tRNA". Rfam says of the family: Transfer RNA (tRNA) molecules are approximately 80 nucleotides in length. Their secondary structure includes four short double-helical elements and three loops (D, anti-codon, and T loops). The record is from Rfam by way of RNAcentral. Lineage: Archaea; Thermoproteati; Thermoproteota; Thermoprotei; Desulfurococcales; Desulfurococcaceae.
GGGCCCGUAGCUCAGCCAGGAUAGAGCGCCGGCCUCCUAAAGGCUGGUCUAGGUUAGCCGGUGAAGCCGGCGGUCCGGGGUUCGAAUCCCCGCGGGCCCG